UACGUAGGGCGCAAGCGUUGUCCGGAAUUAUUGGGCGUAAAGAGCUCGUAGGCGGCUUGUCACGUCGGCUGUGAAAACCCGGGGCUCAACCCCGGGCCUGCAGUCGAUACGGGCAGACUAGAGUGCGGUAGGGGAGACUGGAAUUCCUGGUGUAGCGGUGAAAUGCGCAGAUAUCAGGAGGAACACCGGUGGCGAAGGCGGGUCUCUGGGCCGUUACUGACGCUGAGGAGCGAAAGCGUGGGGAGCGAACAGG
This 253-nucleotide ribosomal RNA is filed under the name uncultured bacterium. Its description in RNAcentral is "partial 16S ribosomal RNA". It matches the Rfam family "Bacterial small subunit ribosomal RNA", at positions 524 to 776 of the family's 1533-position model. The record is from RNAcentral.